Molecule: ribosomal RNA, 236 nt
Filed under: uncultured bacterium
Lineage: Bacteria
Description: partial 16S ribosomal RNA
Rfam family: Bacterial small subunit ribosomal RNA
Source: RNAcentral
UGAGUAUCCUGCCCUUAACUCUGGGAUAAGCCUGGGAAACUGGGUCUAAUACCGGAUAUGACUCCUCAUCGCAUGGGUGGGGGGUGGAAAGCUUUAUUGUGGUUUUGGAUGGACUCGCGGCCUAUCAGCUUGUUGGUGAGGUAAUGGCUCACCAAGGCGACGACGGGUAGCCGGCCUGAGAGGGUGACCGGCCACACUGGGACUGGGACACGGCCCAGACCUCCGUACGGGAGCAG